ACUCCUACGGGAGGCAGCAGUGGGGAAUUUUGGACAAUGGGGCAACCCUGAUCCAGCCAUGCCGCGUGAGUGAAGAAGGCCUUCGGGUUGUAAAGCUCUUUCGGCGGGGAAGAAAUGGCAACGGCUAAUAUCCGUUGUUGAUGACGGUACCCGCAUAAGAAGCACCGGCUAACUACGUGCCAGCAGCCGCGGUAAUACGUAGGGUGCGAGCGUUAAUCGGAAUUACUGGCGUAAAGCGCAUGCAGGUGGUUUGUUAAGUCAGAUGUGAAAGCCCGGGGCUCAACCUCGGAAUUGCAUUUGAAACUGGCAGACUAGAGUACUGUAGAGGGGGUAGGAAUUUCAUGGUGU
RNAcentral lists this ribosomal RNA (348 nucleotides) under uncultured bacterium. Its description in RNAcentral is "bacterial SSU rRNA". It matches the Rfam family "Bacterial small subunit ribosomal RNA", at positions 335 to 676 of the family's 1533-position model. The record is from RNAcentral.